ACUAAGCAUAUCACUAAGCGGAGGAAAAGAAACUAACAAGGAUUCCCUUAGUAACGGCGAGUGAACAGGGAUGAGCCCAGCACCGAAGCCUGUGGCCAUUUGGUUACUAGGCAAUGUGGUGUUUAGGUCGUUCCGCAGAGACACUGCUCCUUUCUAAGUCCAUCAAUGAGUACGGUUGUACUGACAUGGCCCAUGGAGGGUGAAAGGCCCGUAAGAGAGGAGUUUUGGUAUGACAGUGUCUCUCUGGAUUGACCUUGGAGUCGGGUUGUUUGGGAAUGCAGCCCUAAGCGGGUGGUAAACUCCAUCCAAGGCUAAAUACAAGCACGAGUCCGAUAGCGAACAAGUACCGUGAGGGAAAGUUGAAAAGUACUUUGAAGAGAGAGUAAACAGUGCGUGAAACCGCUUAGAGGUAAACGGGUGGAGUUGAACUGCAAUCUCUGAGAAUUCAGCUGGCGAAGAUUAUUUGAGCUUGGUCAAAUUGGUAGGGCCCCGGGGUAUGCUUAGGUGCAUGUUCUGACCUUCGGGUCGGGAUGCGCGUUGCUCUUAUCAAGGGCUGCGCGCCUCGGGUGUCCAUCUGGCCUUGUCACCAGUGCACUUUCUCGGAGUGAUCACCACGACCGGCGUGCUGCUUGACUGUUUUAGUUAAAUCGAACGUUCAUCGUCCUUGUGGCGUUGGGUGGGCGACACGGCAGGUAACUGGGGGCUUGCUUCGGCUUGUUUCUCGGUGUAUGCUGGCUUUAACGGUUCUAUGCGGUGUGUCGGAGACGGCGGCUAGUAGUGUGUGCGUGCGUUUCUAUCUGUUGGCAUAUUCUGGUUUGGUGGCUGUGUGCUUGUUCAAACAGGCCCAGUUAUAGCCGGGGUGUGUCAGUGGGUGGUUGCGUGUGUGGCACUUUUCAGGGCCAACAGUCUGUGGUGUUGUGGUAGACUAUCCACCUGACCCGUCUUGAA
This is a ribosomal RNA of 948 nucleotides. It matches the Rfam family "Eukaryotic large subunit ribosomal RNA", at positions 33 to 658 of the family's 3401-position model.